This is a long non-coding RNA of Astatotilapia calliptera (eastern happy), 2033 nucleotides long. NCBI's taxonomy places the organism in Eukaryota, Metazoa, Chordata, Actinopteri, Cichliformes, Cichlidae. The record is from Ensembl.
UGAAAAGCUUUUUUGAUCAUAAUGACAUAGCAUGUUUACGUUUUUUGUAAUGUAUUUGAAAACAUAGGUGUAUUUAUGUUAUUUUUAUAGAAUUUCCCUCACAUUUAUCCAAUACCAAGCCAAAUCACUGGAAAAAUUUUGGAUGGGUCCACAAGAGCACAAAGGGCAUACUUUUUGAAGAAAAACAUCUUUCAGAUGUAUGAGAAAUUGAUUGGAGCCUGUCUGGAAAACGGCAGCCACUGGACCUUGUUUUUUUGUGAUAUACCCAAGAGGACCAUAGUCUAUAUGAAUUCAUUUGGCGAGUCGGAGGUCAGAAAAAGUGCGGUGUUGAAAAACUGGAGGUAAUUAAUUAACAUAUUUAACAUAACAUAUUUAAUUUAAUUGAAAUCAUUACCGAACGUGGUUAUUGAUUUCUCUAUAUGCUUUUUAUUUGUAAUAACUGCGAUCUCUCAACUCAUUUGCUUCAGCAAGAGGCUGCGCUGGAGAGUGGACCUUGUCACAUGUGAGCCACCCACAUCAACAGGAUGGGAACUCAUGUGGAGUGCAUGUCAUAAUGUUUGCCCAAUCUCUCAUUGACGGUAAAACACAAGUGGAGGAGUACAACACUGAAGUCACAAAGCUCAGGUCCCGACUUUGCCACUACUUAUUUUCCUCAAUAGAUCGAACUAGGAAGUGCAGUCAGUGCUGGUGUGUGAUUGCAGCCAAAGACCGGGUGCAGUGCCAGAAAUGUGGUGCAUACAAGCACAUGCGUUGUUCAAAGUCUGGUUGUGGCAUCUGUAUCUUCUGUGAGAGUAAGUCACAAUAUAACUAAACAAUGUCCAAAAAUGUUUAAAGUGAAAUUUUUUUUCGUAAUUUUGCCUUUGCACACCAGGACUGUGUUAUUAAAGUGGAUGUUUCAAGAUCCAGUUUUUACACAAAACUAUUUUAGACAUAACUGUGUCGUAUUGUGGGGAUUUCUCUUCACAAUUAAAUUGAUAUAGUGCUGUUUAUAUCAUUCUUCUUUAUGUAACAGCACAGUGCAGCACAGCAGAGGGAAAGGAGUUGUGCAGCAUAGUGGGUGGCUAUACAGGAGGAGCAAUAGAAGUAGCCAGUGAAGAAUGUCAUCAGGGAAAGCAUCAGGCAGCGAAUGACAAAGGAAAAGUUCCUAAGGGAGAGAACAUCUGCAGCAAAUCGACAAGUAACAGUGAGAUAGGAAGACUGACAGUCAGAGAUGAAGGUACACAGACUGAAGACAACGCAAAAGAAGCAGAAGUAUACAGCACAAGUCUGAGUACAGAUAAUGCUGCUGCUGAUGAUGUUGACAGGAUCGAUGCAGAUACAGAAUUCCAAACUGAUUCAGAAGGAACUAGUACAGUUUACAGAGUGCAUGGUCGCUUAUCUGUACCAAAAAAGAAAACCUACACAAUAACAGAAGACGAGCUCAAGCGCAGAAUCAACGCAGAGAACAUGUCAGUUCAUGUUUUCAGAGGUUUGAUUGGGGGCCGUAAAGCCAAACUGCCCGCAAUGAUUCUUGACAGGCCUAAGAAGGCCAAAACUAAAGUAACAGUGUUUAGUGUUCUGAGUGAAGAGGAGGCUGGGGAGCUAGCCCUCGGGUUUGCCGGAAGAUUGGCCUGCGAUGUCACAACAGACAUGGUCUGUAAAGGCAUCGACCAUUCAAGUGCUGAUAUGACAAAACAGACUCUUCUCAAAAUCCAACACAACCUUAAACAGGAACUGACUGAUUCCUCAACCUUCAGUUUGCUGACACACACCUUUGGCCCCGCUGCACUGGAUUCUGUCAUUUCAUUCCUGUGUGAAAAACUUGAUCUUGUCUCUUAAAUAAUGAAACCUUUUGUGACUUUUGUUUGUUCUGUAAAUCAGAAUCUUGAAAAUUGUUCAUUGUUGUUCUAAGUUUGUGUUAACUAUUUGGCAAAAAUGAUUGGUUCCUAAUCCAAACAGCAUAAUGACUGUUCUAACACACAUCUUAAAAAUGCUACAAAGAAAGAAAAUUAUCACAUAUGUUUCAAUAUGAAUGUAAUUGUGUCACACUCGGA